This 419-nucleotide ribosomal RNA is filed under the name uncultured bacterium. RNAcentral describes it as "bacterial SSU rRNA". It matches the Rfam family "Bacterial small subunit ribosomal RNA", at positions 355 to 787 of the family's 1533-position model. The record is from RNAcentral.
UGGGGAAUAUUGCACAAUGGGGGAAACCCUGAUGCAGCAACGCCGCGUGAAGGAAGACGGUUUUCGGAUUGUAAACUUCUGUUCUUAGUGAAGAAUAAUGACGGUAGCUAAGGAGCAAGCCACGGCUAACUACGUGCCAGCAGCCGCGGUAAUACGUAGGUGGCAAGCGUUGUCCGGAAUUACUGGGUGUAAAGGGAGCGCAGGCGGGAGACCAAGUCAGCUGUGAAAACUACGGGCUUAACCUGUAGACUGCAGUUGAAAACUGGUUUUUCCUUGAGUGAAGUAGAGGUUGGCGGAAUUCCGAGUGUAGCGGUGAAAUGCGUAGAUAUUCGGAGGAACACCGGUGGCGAAGGCGGCCAACUGGGCUUUAACUGACGCUGAGGCUCGAAAGUGUGGGGAGCAAACAGGAUUAGAUACCC